GCUGGUGUAGCUCAGUUGGCAGAGCGGCUGAUUUGUAAUCAGCAGGUCGGGGGUUCAAACCCCUUCGCCAGCUCCA
This 76-nucleotide transfer RNA is filed under the name Oscillospiraceae bacterium. Its description in RNAcentral is "tRNA-Thr". It matches the Rfam family "tRNA". From Rfam's summary of the family: Transfer RNA (tRNA) molecules are approximately 80 nucleotides in length. Their secondary structure includes four short double-helical elements and three loops (D, anti-codon, and T loops). The record is from RNAcentral. Lineage: Bacteria; Bacillati; Bacillota; Clostridia; Eubacteriales; Oscillospiraceae.